GAUGAACGCUGGCGGCGUGCCUAAUACAUGCAAGUCGAGCGAACAGACGAGGAGCUUGCUCCUCUGACGUUAGCGGCGGACGGGUGAGUAACACGUGGAUAACCUACCUAUAAGACUGGGAUAACUUCGGGAAACCGGAGCUAAUACCGGAUAAUAUAUUGAACCGCAUGGUUCAAUAGUGAAAGACGGUUUUGCUGUCACUUAUAGAUGGAUCCGCGCCGCAUUAGCUAGUUGGUAAGGUAACGGCUUACCAAGGCAACGAUGCGUAGCCGACCUGAGAGGGUGAUCGGCCACACUGGAACUGAGAAACGGUCCAGACUCCUACGGGAGGCAGCAGUAGGGAAUCUUCCGCAAUGGGCGAAAGCCUGACGGAGCAACGCCGCAUGAGUGAUGAAGGUCUUCGGAUCGUAAAACUCUGUUAUUAGGGAAGAACAAAUGUGUAAGUAACUAUGCACGUCUUGACGGUACCUAAUCAGAAAGCCACGGCUAACUACGUA
Molecule: ribosomal RNA, 497 nt
Filed under: uncultured bacterium
Lineage: Bacteria
Description: partial 16S ribosomal RNA
Rfam family: Bacterial small subunit ribosomal RNA
Source: RNAcentral